GCGGAAGUGGCGGAAUGGCAGACGCGCUAGCUUGAGGGGCUAGUGGGAGCAAUCUCGUGUGGGUUCAAGUCCCAUCUUCCGCA
RNAcentral lists this transfer RNA (83 nucleotides) under Desulfonispora thiosulfatigenes DSM 11270. It matches the Rfam family "tRNA". Rfam says of the family: Transfer RNA (tRNA) molecules are approximately 80 nucleotides in length. Their secondary structure includes four short double-helical elements and three loops (D, anti-codon, and T loops). Lineage: Bacteria; Bacillati; Bacillota; Clostridia; Eubacteriales; Peptococcaceae. The record is from Rfam by way of RNAcentral.